ACGCUGGCGGCGUGCCUAACACAUGCAAGUCGAACGGGGUAUAUGUUUUCGGAUGUAUACCUAGUGGCGAACGGGUGAGUAACGCGUGAGCAACCUGACCUUUUGAGGGGGAUAACAACCGGAAACGGUUGCUAAUACCGCAUAAGACCACGCUGUCGCAUGGCAGAGGGGUCAAAGGAGCAAUCCGCAGAAGGAGGGGCUCGCGUCCCAUUAGAUAGUUGGUGAGGUAACGGCUCACCAAGUCAGCGAUGGGUAGCCGAGCUGAGAGGCUGAUCGGCCACACUGGAACUGAGACACGGUCCAGACUCCUACGGGAGGCAGCAGUGGGGAAUAUUGGGCAAUGGGGGAAACCCUGACCCAGCAACGCCGCGUGAGGGAAGAAGGCUUUCGGGUUGUAAACCUCUGUCAUUAGGGAAGAAAGAAAUGACGGUACCUAAUGAGGAAGCCCCGGCUAACUACGUGCCAGCAGCUGC
RNAcentral lists this ribosomal RNA (473 nucleotides) under uncultured bacterium. Its description in RNAcentral is "bacterial SSU rRNA". It matches the Rfam family "Bacterial small subunit ribosomal RNA", at positions 33 to 518 of the family's 1533-position model. The record is from RNAcentral.